This 333-nucleotide unclassified non-coding RNA is filed under the name uncultured fungus. Its description in RNAcentral is "partial contains small subunit ribosomal RNA, internal transcribed spacer 1, and 5.8S ribosomal RNA". The stretch from base 1 to 73 matches the Rfam family "Eukaryotic small subunit ribosomal RNA", at positions 1759 to 1831 of the family's 1831-position model. The record is from RNAcentral. Lineage: Eukaryota; Fungi.
UCAAACUUGGUCAUUUAGAGGAAGUAAAAGUCGUAACAAGGUUUCCGUAGGUGAACCUGCGGAAGGAUCAUUAACGAGUUUUGAAACGGGGUUGUAGCUGGCCUCCCGAGGCACUGUGCACGCCCCCGCUCAUCCACUCUACCCCUGUGCACUUACCGUAGGUCUCUUUCGGUGCGGGGGAGGCGCUUUGUUGCGCCUCUUUCAAUCCGGAGGGUGGCUUAUGUAUCACUACAAACUACAGAAAGUACCAGAAUGUCUAUUGCGAUUGUAACGCAUCUAUAUACAACUUUCAGCAACGGAUCUCUUGGCUCUCGCAUCGAUGAAGAACGCAGC